Molecule: ribosomal RNA, 661 nt
Filed under: Staphylococcus aureus
Lineage: Bacteria; Bacillati; Bacillota; Bacilli; Caryophanales; Staphylococcaceae
Description: bacterial SSU rRNA
Rfam family: Bacterial small subunit ribosomal RNA
Source: RNAcentral
AAAAGUGAAAGACGGUCUUGCUGUCACUUAUAGAUGGAUCCGCGCUGCAUUAGCUAGUUGGUAAGGUAACGGCUUACCAAGGCAACGAUGCAUAGCCGACCUGAGAGGGUGAUCGGCCACACUGGAACUGAGACACGGUCCAGACUCCUACGGGAGGCAGCAGUAGGGAAUCUUCCGCAAUGGGCGAAAGCCUGACGGAGCAACGCCGCGUGAGUGAUGAAGGUCUUCGGAUCGUAAAACUCUGUUAUUAGGGAAGAACAUAUGUGUAAGUAACUGUGCACAUCUUGACGGUACCUAAUCAGAAAGCCACGGCUAACUACGUGCCAGCAGCCGCGGUAAUACGUAGGUGGCAAGCGUUAUCCGGAAUUAUUGGGCGUAAAGCGCGCGUAGGCGGUUUUUUAAGUCUGAUGUGAAAGCCCACGGCUCAACCGUGGAGGGUCAUUGGAAACUGGAAAACUUGAGUGCAGAAGAGGAAAGUGGAAUUCCAUGUGUAGCGGUGAAAUGCGCAGAGAUAUGGAGGAACACCAGUGGCGAAGGCGACUUUCUGGUCUGUAACUGACGCUGAUGUGCGAAAGCGUGGGGAUCAAACAGGAUUAGAUACCCUGGUAGUCCACGCCGUAAACGAUGAGUGCUAAGUGUUAGGGGGUUUCCGCCCCUUAGU